This 1470-nucleotide long non-coding RNA is filed under the name Heterocephalus glaber (naked mole-rat). Its description in RNAcentral is "lncRNA (ENSHGLG00100043589.1)". Lineage: Eukaryota; Metazoa; Chordata; Mammalia; Rodentia; Bathyergidae. The record is from RNAcentral.
AUGAUCAUCAUUAACACUCAGUUUAUCUCUUAGUCAGCCCCUGAUACUAAGAGAAAGCUAAAAAAGGCUGAAGAGGGUCAAAGAGGGCUUACACUCAGAUUUUUUAAAAAAACUGAAAAGAGAAAAUAAGUGCUGGAUUAAAAACAGCUAGAAAAGCUCUGAAGAAGAUAAAACAAAAUAGUAAAAAAACCCAAAAAAACAAUCCACUCCUGGAUUUAAGAGCCAAGGCCAGCACCAUGUUAUCAGCCUGAUGCUGUUGUAAAGGUCUGGAAUCAAAAACAAAGCCAGAAAACUACAGCUGUGCUCUACCAGACAUCAAGAGAUUUUACCAAAAAAUCAAGUUACAAAUUUUAGUUAACCGAUAAAUGUAUUUGUUUCAAAUUGAGUUGAUGUUUAAUUGGUGUGCUUAAGACAUUUCUUGUGCAUUGUAAAUUCUUGAAUUGCAAUUAUAGGGUUAACUUACUCUUUUCUGUACUUUGUUGAUGAAAAACUCAAGGUUACUACUGUUUUAUUGGCAGCCAGUUAAAUUUUAAAAUGUAACCAUCUGAGAACAGAAAAAAAAGGGACACUUUAAAAUUUUAACAGCUGAAGAUGAGUUUGUUAUAGAAGGUUUAUAGUGAGACGGAGGAAAAAUAUUUAAAAAGCUUUUGGAGACCAAAACUAAAAAGGUAACUGGGCUAUGAGGACAGCCAAUAUUUUAGCCCUGGCCCCUCAAGGUCAACAAAGAUCCAAGACAUAAGGGAACCUUCUCUACAGGAUCCUACCUCUUUGGAGCAGUUGGAGGUCUUUACCAAUCAGACAGUCGGUGAACUCAUUAUGGCCAGUUAUCAACCUUUUGCCACAGGAGACCACGCCAUCAUCACGUAGGACCCAGACCUGUUACCCUUUAUCACUGCCUCUGUGCUCACAGGAAGCAGCUACAAUAAAGAGACCUCUGCCCUUACUCCAUAAUAAUAUCAAGAGUCUGGAAUGAUAGAGUUCUCUGCUAGGUAAAAUGGCCCUGAGAACCCUGCAUCCUAAAAUGGCCCCUACCUACAGGAAACAAGUCACCUCCUUUUUUCCACCUCGCCCCCAGCCGUAGCCAAUCAUCUGCCACUACCACACUCCCCCAGCCCUUAUAAACCUCACCCAGCCAACCCCUGGUUGCUAUUCUCGCCAUUGUUCGAGACAGCCUGGCAGCUCUGCCCCUUAAUAAAAGCUUUAGCUUGGGUGUUCACAUUUUGGCUCAUUUUAUUUCUCUCAAUGAUAACCAGAAAAAGUGAUACCUUGGUUGUCGAAUGGUUCUAAAAAUUGAACUUUCCACUACUUGAAAAGCAAAGUUAAAAAAAAAAUCUGUUUGGUUUUGGUAACUUUGCUCCAUAGUCAAACCGAAAAUCCAAUAGGCUGAGAGUGAGGCAUGUGUCCUAUCUCCCUGUGAACACAAAGGGUGUCAUUUCGGUUUAAGCACCCCUCUUGCCCAGACUACAGGCA